AACUUUCAGCAACGGAUCACUUGGCUCUCGCAUCGAUGAAGAACGCAGCGAAAUGUCAUAAGUAAUGUGAAUUGCAGAAUUCAGUGAAUCAUCGAAUCUUUGAACGCACCUUGCGCUCUCUGGUAUUCCGGAGAGCAUGCCUGUUUGAGUGUCAUGAACUCUUCAACCCACUGGUUCCUUGUUGGACUGUCGUGGUGUUUGGAUUUUGAGCGUUGCUGACUAGUGCAUUAUUUUGGACCAAGUGUAGCUCGUUCGUAAUACAUUAGCAUCUCAAUUGCGAAACUCGGAUCGACUCAGCGUGAUAGACUAUUCGCUGAGGACACUUGUAAAAAAGUGGCCGAAUUAGCUGACUUAGAAGCUUCUAAUCCCCCAUUAGUCAAAACUAUAAGAUUAGACCUCAGAUCAGGCAGGAUUACCCGCUGAACUUAAGCAUAUCAAUAAGCGGAGGCU
This 450-nucleotide unclassified non-coding RNA is filed under the name uncultured Rhodotorula. RNAcentral's name for it is "sequence contains ITS2". The stretch from base 1 to 154 matches the Rfam family "5.8S ribosomal RNA". The record is from RNAcentral. Lineage: Eukaryota; Fungi; Basidiomycota.